GACGAACGCUGGCGGCGUGCUUAACACAUGCAAGUCGAACGGAAAGGCCCUGCUUUUGUGCGUUUCUCGAUUGCCGAACGGGUGAGUAACACGUGAGUAACCUGCCCUUGACUUUCGGAUAACUUCACGAAACUGGGGCUCAUAUCGGAUAUGAUCUCCUGCUCCAUGUUGGUGGUUGGAAAGUUUCGGCGGUUGGGGCUGGACUCGCGGCUUAUCCGCUGGUUGGUGGGGUAGUGGCUUACCAAGGCUUUGACGGGUAGCCGGCCUGAGAGGGGGACCGGGCACAUUGGGACUGAGAGACGGCGCAGACUCCUACGGGAGGCAGCAGGGGGGAAUAUGGCACAAUGGGCGGAAGUGUGAUGCAAAAACGCCGGGUGCGGGAUGACGGCCUUCGGGUUGUAAACCGAUUUCGCCGGUGACGAAGAGUGAGUGACGGUAAUGGGUAAAGAAGCACCGGCUAACUACGUG
RNAcentral lists this ribosomal RNA (468 nucleotides) under uncultured bacterium. Its description in RNAcentral is "partial 16S ribosomal RNA". It matches the Rfam family "Bacterial small subunit ribosomal RNA", at positions 28 to 507 of the family's 1533-position model. The record is from RNAcentral.